This 301-nucleotide ribosomal RNA is filed under the name uncultured bacterium. Its description in RNAcentral is "partial 16S ribosomal RNA". It matches the Rfam family "Bacterial small subunit ribosomal RNA", at positions 509 to 807 of the family's 1533-position model. The record is from RNAcentral.
CAGCAGCCGCGGUAAUACGAAGGGGGCUAGCGUUGUUCGGAAUUACUGGGCGUAAAGCGCACGCAGGCGGCUCGAUAAAUUAGAAGUGAAAGCCUUGGGCUUAACCUGAGAAUUGCUUUUAAGACUGUCGAGCUAGAAUCCAGAAGAGGGUAGUGGAAUUCCGAGUGUAGAGGUGAAAUUCGUAGAUAUUCGGAAGAACACCAGUGGCGAAGGCGACUACCUGGUCUGGCAUCGACGCUCAUGUGCGAAAGCGUGGGGAGCAAACAGGAUUAGAUACCCGGGUAGUCCCUGUCUCUUAUAC